GCCGGGCGUGGUGGCGCGUGUCUGUAGUCCCAGCUACUCUGGAGGCUGAAGUGGGAGGAUCGCUUGAGCCCAGGAGGUCUGGGCUGCAGUGCGCUAUGCCAAUGGGGUGUCCGCACUAAGUUCGGCAUCAAAAUGGUGACCUCCCGGGAGCGGGGGACCACCAGGUUGCCUAAGGAGGUGUGAACCGGCCCAGGUCAAAAACGGAGCAGAUCAAAACUCCCGUGCUGACCAGUAGUGGGAUCACGCCUGUGAACAGACACUGCAUACCAGACUGGGCAACAUAGUGAGACCCCAUCUCU
Molecule: signal recognition particle RNA, 299 nt
Filed under: Saimiri boliviensis boliviensis (Bolivian squirrel monkey)
Lineage: Eukaryota; Metazoa; Chordata; Mammalia; Primates; Cebidae
Description: Metazoan signal recognition particle RNA (ENSSBOG00000000284.1)
Rfam family: Metazoan signal recognition particle RNA
About the family: The signal recognition particle (SRP) is a universally conserved ribonucleoprotein. It is involved in the co-translational targeting of proteins to membranes.
Source: RNAcentral